UGACACAAACUCACAUGUGAAAAAAAUGG
Molecule: non-coding RNA, 29 nt
Filed under: Mus musculus (house mouse)
Lineage: Eukaryota; Metazoa; Chordata; Mammalia; Rodentia; Muridae
Source: RNAcentral